Molecule: transfer RNA, 73 nt
Filed under: Candidatus Auribacterota bacterium
Lineage: Bacteria; Pseudomonadati; Candidatus Auribacterota
Description: tRNA-Arg
Rfam family: tRNA
About the family: Transfer RNA (tRNA) molecules are approximately 80 nucleotides in length.
Source: RNAcentral
GCGCCCAUGGCCUAAUGGAUAGGGCACCUGACUACGAAUCAGGCGGUUGCAGGUUCGAAUCCUGCUGGGCGCG